This 495-nucleotide ribosomal RNA is filed under the name uncultured bacterium. RNAcentral's name for it is "partial 16S ribosomal RNA". It matches the Rfam family "Bacterial small subunit ribosomal RNA", at positions 28 to 507 of the family's 1533-position model. The record is from RNAcentral.
GACGAACGCUGGCGGCGUGCCUAAUACAUGCAAGUAGAACGCUGAAGGAGGAGCUUGCUUCUCCGGAUGAGUUGCGAACGGGUGAGUAACGCGUAGGUAACCUGCCUGGUAGCGGGGGAUAACUAUUGGAAACGAUAGCUAAUACCGCAUAAGAGUAGAUGUCGCAUGACAUUUGCUUAAAAGGUGCAACUGCACCACUACCAGAUGGACCUGCGUUGUAUUAGCUAGUUGGUGAGGUAACGGCUCACCAAGGCAACGAUACAUAGCCGACCUGAGAGGGUGAUCGGCCACACUGGGACUGAGAAACGGCCCAGACUCCUACGGGAGGCAGCAGUAGGGAAUCUUCGGCAAUGGACGGAAGUCUGACCGAGCAACGCCGCGUGAGUGAAGAAGGUUCUCGGAUCGUAAAGCUCUGUUGUAAGAGAAGAACGAGUGUGAGAGUGGAAAGUUCACACUGUGACGGUAUCUUACCAGAAAGGGACGGCUAACUACGUG